UGGGGAAUAUUGCACAAUGGGGGAAACCCGUGAUGCAGCGACGCCGCGUGAGUGAAGAAGUAUUUCGGUAUGUAAAGCUCUAUCAGCAGGAAAGAAAAUGACGGUACCUGACUAAGAAGCCCCGGCUAACUACGUGCC
This 138-nucleotide ribosomal RNA is filed under the name uncultured bacterium. RNAcentral's name for it is "partial 16S ribosomal RNA". It matches the Rfam family "Bacterial small subunit ribosomal RNA", at positions 355 to 509 of the family's 1533-position model. The record is from RNAcentral.